CGGGUUUUUACUCCUGGAUGUUACCGGUUCGCCCAGCCGAAGCCGGACGGGUUUUGGUGUCUGAUUCGGUACGAAUCGGGAGCACCUCUGCGUAGGCCUGAAGAAGCGAACUCCAACGGUUUAAGGCUUGCGCCGCCUACGGUCUUGGAUAGCCCCCGCCAGGCAGGGACCCCAAUUUUGCGCCGCCCCGGCAGCCGGAGCG
RNAcentral lists this small RNA (202 nucleotides) under Stutzerimonas stutzeri. Its description in RNAcentral is "Pseudomonas stutzeri Pseudomonas sRNA P27". It matches the Rfam family "Pseudomonas sRNA P27". Lineage: Bacteria; Pseudomonadati; Pseudomonadota; Gammaproteobacteria; Pseudomonadales; Pseudomonadaceae. The record is from Rfam by way of RNAcentral.